AUUGAACGCUGGCGACAGGCCUAACACAUGCAAGUCGAACGGUAACAGGAAGCAGCUUGCUGCUUCGCUGACGAGUGGCGGACGGGUGAGUAAUGUCUGGGAAGCUGCCUGAUGGAGGGGGAUAACUACUGGAAACGGUAGCUAAUACCGCAUAAUGUCGCAAGACCAAAGAGGGGGACCUUCGGGCCUCUUGCCAUCGGAUGUGCCCAGAUGGGAUUAGCUUGUUGGUGGGGUAACGGCUCACCAAGGCGACGAUCCCUAGCUGGUCUGAGAGGAUGACCAGCCACACUGGAACUGAGACACGGUCCAGACUCCUACGGGAGGCAGCAGUGGGGAAUAUUGCACAAUGGGCGCAAGCCUGAUGCAGCCAUGCCGCGUGUAUGAAGAAGGCCUUCGGGUUGUAAAGUACUUUCAGCGGGGAGGAAGGGAGUAAAGUUAAUACCUUUGCUCAUUGGCGUUACCCGCAGAAGAAGCACCGGCUAACUCCGUG
This 490-nucleotide ribosomal RNA is filed under the name uncultured bacterium. RNAcentral's name for it is "partial 16S ribosomal RNA". It matches the Rfam family "Bacterial small subunit ribosomal RNA", at positions 30 to 507 of the family's 1533-position model. The record is from RNAcentral.